Equus caballus (horse) is the source of this 1581-nucleotide non-coding RNA. NCBI's taxonomy places the organism in Eukaryota, Metazoa, Chordata, Mammalia, Perissodactyla, Equidae. The record is from RefSeq and is a predicted model, not a curated record.
GGAAGGGUGGGCGGCUGGCCUCACGUGGACCACCCGCUGUCGGUCCUGAAAGGGGCCCCGAGGGCAGGGGAGCCGCGCUGUGACCGCGGGGCAGGCCUCACCGAGGACGCCGAGGGAGGUGGAGGAGGAGGCCGGGCUCGCGGGCGUGUGAGAGCUGCCGGACGCCUCGAGGAGGCUGCAGAAACCACCCCAUGAUGGCAUCUCCUAGGGUGAGGGCACGUUCUCCCCAGACUCUGAUGACCCGAGCAGCCCUGUCACUGCAAGACCUGGCGUCGCAUGUGACCAUGAGGGCUGCAGUGUCAGCAUGGUGGGUCCAGGCACUGCCUGCCAUCCUCUGGCAGAAGAGUGGGAGCUCAGCAGCCCCUCCCAUGGAAUCCUCGCUGUCUCCCAGUGUCUACACCACCCUGAACACGCGCAGUGACGCAGAAGGUCUUCUUGGGUCUUCCUCCAUCGGCAGGUCCUGCAGUGUGGAUUCGGGGGGCUGGGGAGGGUGGGCACCACUGCAUCUGCUGCACUCUGGUUCCCAAGCCCUGCUCCUUUUCUCGGAUCUUACGGACGCCCUUCUUCACCCGAGUCAGCAUCUCCCCUCAGCUGCGUCCAGCGCCACAGUGAGUGGAGCUCUGCCUGCCUGCAGGACACACCCCUGCCGUGUCUGUCUUGUUGCUGGGAGGCCCGGACUGGCUUUUCUGGCCCCUGGUCUCUAAUGCUGUCUUAUUUCCUCUCGGCUGUGUCUGGGCCUCCCCCCAAAGCCCUCUUGUCUGUUUGGGCAGGAAAGUGUGUUGCCCACAUCCUUGACUCUCCACGUCUGGUCGCCUGGAUGUGGACCCACCCUCCUGCUGCCGCUGGUACUCAGAGCCCCCUCAGAUGAUCGGUGAUGGGGCAGGGGAGGGCUGGAAGCCAGGGCCCCCAUUGCCACCCCCCACCCGGCUUGUCUGGGCACCCAACUCAAGUGAUCUGCGCACCUACUGUGUGCCGGGCACCGUGCCGAGAGCGUCUGCGGCCCCUCCCUGUACCCUCACAACCGCCUGUGAAGGAGGCUCAUCAGCUCUGCCUUCAGACGGGGAAACUGAGGAUCCGGGAGGUUAAGUCAGCGCCCCAAGGUCGCCCACCUGACCCUGAGGAGCCCUGAAGGGGACGCACGUCCCCUCCCCACUCUGCCCCGUCUGCAGAGACAUGGCUUCCAGAACCCUGCAGGGAGAGCCCGCGCUGCAGCCGCUCCCAAGUCCGUCCUGGCCGCUGUUUACCUGGAAUCAUCCCGUGGGUCCCGCCAAGCAGAUGUUAGAGAUCUUCUCCUGGAACCACAGGCCGGGCCCACAUGGCCGGCAGACGCCCACCCCACUCCCGAGAGGACCUUGUUUAACCAGGGUCCCCAUGCGCUGCGUCUGCAAGAAGCCUGCCCAACUGCGGACUUGGCGGCCAUCCCAAGAGGGCUGUCACUGAAACUGACCACAGUGGGCGAAGGGCUCUGGGGGAAGAUCUCAACAGUGGGACCGCUGGCCUCAAGGCAAAACUCAAGGCCAUCAGCUGUUUGGGUAAAAUGCAAUGAUGUCCAUGAAAUUGUCAUUAAACUCUUGCUUGCGU